This 400-nucleotide ribosomal RNA is filed under the name uncultured bacterium. RNAcentral describes it as "bacterial SSU rRNA". It matches the Rfam family "Bacterial small subunit ribosomal RNA", at positions 356 to 773 of the family's 1533-position model. The record is from RNAcentral.
GGGGAAUAUUGCGCAAUGGAGGGAACUCUGACGCAGCAACGCCGCGUGAAGGAAGAAGGCUUUCGGGUUGUAAACUUCUUUGAUCGGGGACGAAGAUGACGGUACCCGAGGAACAAGCCACGGCUAACUACGUGCCAGCAGCCGCGGUAAUACGUAGGUGGCGAGCGUUGUCCGGAAUUACUGGGUGUAAAGGGCGUGUAGGCGGGGAGGCAAGUCAGAUGUGAAAUCCCGAGGCUCAACUUCGGAGCUGCAUCUGAAACUGUUUUUCUUGAGUACUGGAGAGGAAAGUGGAAUUCCUAGUGUAGCGGUGAAAUGCGUAGAGAUUAGGAGGAACACCAGUGGCGAAGGCGGCUUUCUGGACAGUAACUGACGCUGAGGCGCGAAAGCGUGGGGAGCAAAC